Molecule: long non-coding RNA, 2540 nt
Filed under: Capra hircus (goat)
Lineage: Eukaryota; Metazoa; Chordata; Mammalia; Artiodactyla; Bovidae
Description: lncRNA (ENSCHIG00010005555.1)
Source: RNAcentral
UGUUCCUUUCCCUUAAAUCUGGGUUCUGGGGAUUCUUGGGCAAAAUGGUGGAAGUGAUGCUGUGUCAGACCCAGGCUGUAAGAAAUGGCAGCUUCCACUACCCAUAAAGCGGGUUGCUUACAUUUGGAACUCAACCACCAUGCUGUGAUGAAGCCCACCAGCUCCAUGGAAGGGCCAUGUGGAAGGGAACAGAGGCCCUCACACCCACAGAGCUAAUGGAUCCUCCAGUCCCCCGUCGAGUUGCCCCAGCUGAUGCCUCCUGGAGCAAGACUGUGCCUUCCCCGAUGAGCUCUGCUUAACUUGCAGACCUGUUUGCUCUUGUUUCAAGCCAUCAAAUUUGGGGGUCAUUUGUUACACAGUGACAGCUAACUGAGACACCCAACAGCCAAAAAAAUCAGCACCAGUGCCUGAACACAGGCUUUGGGGUCAGUCCCACCAGUCUUAUCCCAAGAUCUCUCUCAGCCUCUGUUUCUGCCUCUGCAAACAGUGGUUGUAAUAGCACUUGCCUUGAGAGGCCCUGAGAGGGUGGAAUGAGAUGAGGGGUGGAGGGGCUGGCAGAGUGCGAGCCACGGUGCUUGGCAGCUUCUGCGGUUGCCCAUUACUGUUAUUAUCGUAAGCACUAAAAAAAUGACCCACUCCAGGCUUCAUUAAAAUAGUCAGAUCCUUCACUGAUCAUUCCUUUGGGGGCUUCCUCCUCCAGGAAGCCUUCCCUGACCAUCCCAGGCUGAGCUGCUAUCACCUUUGUGCAUCUACAGCCCCCUGUUUUCUCCCCACCAUGACAUGGGUCCCACUGAGUGGUCACAGCCUGUUUAUAGCUGCCAGGCUGGGAGCUCCUCAAGGGCAUCAACAGAAUGGCUGGCAAGGGGUUGAAGAGCCCCAUGGGAGGACGGUAUGUGUGCACACAGGUGGGGGCCCUGGAGCUGCUUGCUGUGGCUGCGUGGCCCUCAGCCAGCCUGUGCACCCUGAGUGUGCCCUUGCAUGAGUCUUGCGUGCAAGGCCUCUGAGUAUUUUGGCCAGGCUGUGCUCACGAGGAUCCAUGUACGCAUGUCUGUAGGUAUACGUGGCGUGGGUAUAUCUCAGUGCUUGUGCUUGUGUGCACCCUCUGUGUGCAAGCAUGUUUGUGUACAUGUGCCCGUGGAGGGGCAUGGGCGGUGGGUGGGGGGCAGGUAUCUGUCUCUCUGCCUUCUUGGGGUCUCUCCUGCCUCCCUCACAGCCUCACUGGCCUGAGCCUCAACCAGGGUGGUUGGUGUCUAACAGGAUUGGUGAAGGCACUAUGUGAGGACAAGUCCCCCCAAUCCAGGUCACAUGCUGUGGCCUCCCCAGCUGUGGGCCCCGAGCCCUGCCUUUGGAGUUCACCAGUGGGUGUGUGCGUGCACACGCGUGUGCAGCUUAGAGUGAUGAUAAUGCACACAGGGAUGACUGGUGACACCGCUGGACUGCCUGCCCCUGCUCUCCACACUGAAGAUGCAUUACCUCACUUGACUCUAUAAGGUAAUUACGAUCACCAUUCAUGCUUUACAGAUGAGGAAACCAAGGCUCAGAACAGUGGGGUGACUUGUUGAAGGUCACGAGCUAAUACAUGGUAAAGCGGGGCUUUGAACGCAGGCAGUUCUUGCAGGGAAGCCUUGUCCGCUGCCCUUGCUAAGUCUCAGUUUCCUCCUCUGUAAAGUGAACACACACAAUGUAACAUUUCCCUCUCCAGGUGAUCCUGGGGGCAAGGCAAGGGCAAAGGCCUUGCCAGCAGGGAGGCAGGGGACUGGCCAGUGAGGGGGUCUGGGGGAGCCGAUGGCAGCUACAGGGCGCAGGGGCAGAGGACACACUUGGCCAUCACUCAGCUUGGGCUAGGGUCUCAGGCCAUUUGUAGCCUGGUCUUGGACCAUCCCCAGCUUGACGCUCCAGUUCCUCUUCCAUCAAGCUGGGAAAAGCCAACUUGCCUGGCAGGGGUACUUCCAGGGCUCCCUCUGCAGAGCAGGAAUAGCCAGACACACCGUUCCUAUCCUUCUGGACUUGGGGGCACCUGAGGGUGGGCUUGAAUCCAACUCCUUCCUCAGCCCCUGGUCCCCACUCCCAUGGUAUGAGAUGCUUUCAAUGGCUGAGGGUUUAGCUUGCUCUAAACACAGUCCCCAAAGCCCCCAGCUUUGGGCAGGCCCCCUCCAGCACCUAUUUGAGGGCUUCAACUGCUCAGUUUUCCACUUGGGUCAGACCUAUUUGGGGUGAGGGGGAAUGAGAAUUAUGGGAGUGUGGCCUCCACCCAUCAUAAUCCACUCCCAGCCCUCCUGGAAAGCCUGAUUCCUCAGCGGUCCCAGGGCCAAAGAUGGGCUGGGUGCUGCAAGGGGGUGCCCCUCAGAUAUCUUGUGCAUCCCAGUUUAGAGGCUCAUGUUCCAAGCUCCCUCCCCAACUUUUUCCACCCUUCCGAUGGAACCAACAGGCCAGGAAGAAACAGGUAAGAUGUUGACUCAUUUAUUUGUUUCUUCAACAGAUAUUUAUUGAGCAACUACUGUACUGCAGGAGCUGAAAUGGGUGUCAGUCUAGUACCAGAC